UACGUAGGGUGCAAGCGUUGUCCGGAAUUAUUGGGCGUAAAGGGCUCGUAGGUGGCCAACUAAGUCAGACGUGAAAUCCCUCAGCUUAACUGGGGAACUGCGUCUGAUACUGGAUGGCUUGAGUUUGGGAGAGGGAUGCGGAAUUCCAGGUGUAGCGGUGAAAUGCGUAGAUAUCUGGAGGAACACCGGUGGCGAAGGCGGCAUCCUGGACCAACACUGACACUGAGGAGCGAAAGCCAGGGGAGCAAACGGG
Molecule: ribosomal RNA, 253 nt
Filed under: uncultured bacterium
Lineage: Bacteria
Description: partial 16S ribosomal RNA
Rfam family: Bacterial small subunit ribosomal RNA
Source: RNAcentral